GUUGCUGAAAAAAAGUAGUCCCUUCCUACACUGAUUCUGACCAUCUGGCUGGCUUUGGUUAAUGGGAUAUUAGAAAUGUGAUACAAACAGAGGGUUGAAAAGCAUUUGAGCAUUGGGGCUUGAUCUCUGGGUGCUCUCAGGAUCCUGCCAUCACCAAUACAUGGACAAGCUUUGAGUAUCCUACUGGUAGAAUGAAAGUCACAUGACCCAGCCACUCUUGUCACACAUGCCAAUAGCCAGCCUACUGCAAGAUGUGUGAGUGAGGCCAUCCAAGACCAGCCAAGCCCCAGUCAACUCAUCAAUUGACUGCAAACUCAUAAGCGAGCCUAGCUUGUAUCAUCUGAGUCCAGCCCAGGCCAGAAGAAUCCCUUAGCAGAACUGUGAGCUCAAUCAAUGGCUUGUUAUAUCACAAUAGAAAACUGAGACAAGGCGGGUGAUGAAUGAGUAACAGUAAACUUCCAGCAAACGUCGACUUCUCAGGAAGUAGCCAGAGCCACCAGCUUCCUCAAGAAAAGGAGAGAGAGAAUUCCUUCUCCACCAUGCAGAGGAACUUUACGUGACAGACACUGAGAUGCUGCUGUAGCCUCAGGAAGAAGGCAAUGGAGAGCUGGCUGGUGAUUCAUAUUAGAAUCACGUGGGGAGCUUCAACAAUACUACGGAUGUUCGUUGCUGGGCCACACUCUAGAUGAACUAAAUCUAGAAUUUGAAGCAUCCCCUGCCUCAGGAAGAAACCCAGAAGGUUCUGCAUGGGCAAGUAGGGUCAACGGUGCAGCUGACUGGAGCUGGCUGAGCCAAUGGUGCUGCUGUACUACAGUGUUUUCUGGGCUGUAUCAUCUGCAACCGGGGUUGGCCAGAGUGAGAGAACUCUGGGAGUCUCCACAGGAAGUGAAUAUUUCCUGACCAGCUCAUUCCUUGCUGCCUCUCCAACAUUUUCUUGUCUACAACUAAAACGUUUUGCCUUGUAUGUUCCCGCCCAAGGCCUCUUGAGACAGUGGGUGUUUUCUUCUUUCAUUUUCAACUCGUGCCAAAUGUGUCAGGAGUUAAGUCCAUAAUGCAUAGAUCUUGGCCCCGGAUCUUUCAGGGAUGUGGCCUCUCUUUCUGACACAGGCCGCACACUAACCAGAUGUGUCUGAAAGUCUGACCCUUUAAGAGAUCCUGGCUUGGUGCUUCUUUAUAAAUGAAAACCCUGUUAAGAGAG
Molecule: long non-coding RNA, 1198 nt
Filed under: Equus asinus (donkey)
Lineage: Eukaryota; Metazoa; Chordata; Mammalia; Perissodactyla; Equidae
Description: lncRNA (ENSEASG00005036618.1)
Source: RNAcentral